Molecule: long non-coding RNA, 299 nt
Organism: Herpailurus yagouaroundi (jaguarundi)
Lineage: Eukaryota; Metazoa; Chordata; Mammalia; Carnivora; Felidae
Exons: 2
Source: RefSeq, a predicted model, not a curated record
AAUUUCACUCCUACUUCUACUGAGAUAAUAGUGCAUAUAGUGCAUAUCCAUCGCUGAAAGAAGAAAGAGUUUUUGAUUGAACUGAAAAACCAAAUGGAUUUGGAGUCCUACAAAUGAUUAUCAUUUAGAGGAUGUGUGCCCACAUACAGACUAGAAUACUUAACAGGAGAAUGAAGAAUACAAAACAGAGCUCUGUCAUCUCCAGCCCAGGAUCAUUGGAUACUCCAUUUUCGUGCUGAAUUUGCCUGGCUGUUUGCUUUUUAAGUUUAAAGUGUAAAUGCCAACCUGCUUUUCUCUGA